Long non-coding RNA from Xenopus laevis (African clawed frog), 699 nucleotides. RefSeq lists it as uncharacterized. The record is from RefSeq and is a predicted model, not a curated record. The transcript is spliced from 3 exons. Lineage: Eukaryota; Metazoa; Chordata; Amphibia; Anura; Pipidae.
AUCUAUAAUGAGCGGACAGAUUCCUGUUUUCUUUUUACGCCUUUUAUGCGUUGAUUGGGUUACCAAAAGCGAUGUUUAAUAAGUUCACUUAAAGAAUACUUGGAAAUAUUUAAGGGGAAGUUUUUAUGUAACGCAAGGACGUGCUUUCAUGGAUGACAUUUUGACCGAAGAGGUGGGAGGAAGUUCACGUAAGGGGACUAGUCACGUGGUUUAUUCACGUAUGACGUAUGUAACAUCCGCCUGAAAUCACAUUUUCACAUUCAGCUGUUCUCCUUCCUGUCAUGUCACACGGCUCCACACUGUCCAAUCAGCACUGAGCAGAUUGAUGCUUUCUCCCAUCUCUUUAAAGGUUCCAUUGUAGGAUGUGAGAGAGAUGGAUUGCUUUAUAGUAAAGACCGCGUCAUUUCCAUUAUUCAGCCUCUUGACUAAGCUACUGUGGUAGCGAAACAGCUGUCGAGGCGCAGUCCUGCGCGAAGAGGAAGGGGGCCCCCAUACCCAUGAACCUGUGGAAGAAGCUCAAGGUGCGGCUCAUUACCAGUGCGGACCCUUCGAACUGUUGGUGAUCUGGUAGUGACACUUUCGGAUGCCUGGUCUGUAUAAACUUUAUUUUUGCUUGCAUCUCGCUGCACUAACACUGGGAGCGCUAGUGGCUGUACCAGUAACAUAGUAACAUAGUAAGUAAGGUUGAAAAAGGACACA